CUUGGGUUCUCUGUGCUUCUCCCCUGGGCCACACAGAGGCCCAUGGGGGACCACACUUGCAUGCUGAGAACAAGAUCCACUUCUGCGUGGCUCAGACAGCCUGCCUCAGAAUCAUCUCAGACAUUGAGGUUGAAUUCCAUUUAAAAAAAUUUUGAACAACCCUGCAGAAGCCAGCCUUGUUUUGGGUGCCUGUGGUCUGGAGAAUGAGCUCCAGGG
RNAcentral lists this long non-coding RNA (216 nucleotides) under Dasypus novemcinctus (nine-banded armadillo). Its description in RNAcentral is "lncRNA (ENSDNOG00000052364.1)". The record is from RNAcentral. Lineage: Eukaryota; Metazoa; Chordata; Mammalia; Cingulata; Dasypodidae.